RNAcentral lists this ribosomal RNA (235 nucleotides) under uncultured bacterium. RNAcentral describes it as "partial 16S ribosomal RNA". It matches the Rfam family "Bacterial small subunit ribosomal RNA", at positions 57 to 305 of the family's 1533-position model. The record is from RNAcentral.
GCAAGUCGAACGAAUAAGACCUAGCUUGCUAGGAAACUGUUAGUGGCAGACGGGUGAGUAACACGUAGGAAUUUACCUUAUAGUUCGGGAUAACAGUUGGAAACGACUGCUAAUACCGUAUACGCUCCAUGGAGGAAAGAUUUAUCGCUAUAAGAUAAGCCUGCGUUAGAUUAGGUAGUUGGUGAGGUAAUGGCUCACCAAGGCGACGAUCCCUAGCUGGUUUGAGAGGAUGAUC